GGUCCGGUGGCUCAGUGGUAGAGCGGUGAGGAAUCUGACGAGAUCAGACAACUCUCACGGUCGGCAGUUCGAUUCUGCCCCGGAUCACCA
Molecule: transfer RNA, 90 nt
Filed under: Muribaculaceae bacterium
Lineage: Bacteria; Pseudomonadati; Bacteroidota; Bacteroidia; Bacteroidales; Muribaculaceae
Description: tRNA-OTHER
Rfam family: tRNA
About the family: Transfer RNA (tRNA) molecules are approximately 80 nucleotides in length. Their secondary structure includes four short double-helical elements and three loops (D, anti-codon, and T loops).
Source: RNAcentral